CGAAGCCGCGAGGUGGAGCGAAUCCCAAAAAGACCGGUCUAAGUUCGGAUUGCAGGCUGCAACCCGCCUGCAUGAAGUCGGAAUCGCUAGUAAUCGCGAGUCAGCAUAUCGCGGUGAAUACGUUCCCGGGUCUUGUACACACCGCCCGUCACACCAUGGGAGUUGGCAACACCCGAAGUCGAUGAGCUAACCGCAAGGAGGCAGUCCGCCUAAGGUGGGGUUGAUAACUGGGGUGAAGUCGUAACAAGGUAUC
Molecule: ribosomal RNA, 253 nt
Filed under: uncultured bacterium
Lineage: Bacteria
Description: partial 16S ribosomal RNA
Rfam family: Bacterial small subunit ribosomal RNA
Source: RNAcentral